RNAcentral lists this ribosomal RNA (492 nucleotides) under uncultured bacterium. RNAcentral's name for it is "partial 16S ribosomal RNA". It matches the Rfam family "Bacterial small subunit ribosomal RNA", at positions 29 to 507 of the family's 1533-position model. The record is from RNAcentral.
AGUGAACGCUGGCGGUAGGCCUAACACAUGCAAGUCGAACGGCAGCACAGUAAGAGCUUGCUCUUACGGGUGGCGAGUGGCGGACGGGUGAGGAAUACAUCGGAAUCUACUUUUUCGUGGGGGAUAACGUAGGGAAACUUACGCUAAUACCGCAUACGACCUACGGGUGAAAGCAGGGGAGCUUCGGACCUUGCGCGAUUGAAUGAGACGAUGUCGGAUUAGCUAGUUGGCGGGGUAAAGGCCCACCAAGGCGACGAUCCGUAGCUGGUCUGAGAGGAUGAUCAGCCACACUGGAACUGAGACACGGUCCAGACUCCUACGGGAGGCAGCAGUGGGGAAUAUUGGACAAUGGGCGCAAGCCUGAUCCAGCCAUACCGCGUGGGUGAAGAAGGCCUUCGGGUUGUAAAGCCCUUUUGUUGGGAAAGAAAAGCAGCAGGUUAAUACCCCGCUGUUCUGACGGUACCCAAAGAAUAAGCACCGGCUAACUUCGUG